Non-coding RNA from Pelobates cultripes (western spadefoot toad), 89 nucleotides. Lineage: Eukaryota; Metazoa; Chordata; Amphibia; Anura; Pelobatidae. The record is from the annotation of a GenBank genome assembly.
UCUGGUACAUUUAAACAAAAUGGAGGCUCUUUAGUUUUAUUUCAAUGGGAUAAAACUAAAGAGCCUCCAUUUUGUUUAAAUGUACAUGG